GGGAGGGCGCCCUCCUCCCGCCGGUUGGGAGCGUGGAGGGAAGGGAGGCGGACGGGCAAAAGCGCUUUGGAGACUCUGGAAAGUAGUGCUUUCUAACGGCAGGAUUUCAAAGUGGUAGCAGGAUUCUAGAUAGAAAAGUCAAGGAAAGCAUCUUUGAAGAGACAUCAUUUGUGAAACAUCCAAAUGAAGAGAGUGAACCUUUGAAUAUUUACGGGAAGAGUUUUCAGUCUGCAGAGUAAGGAGGUGCAAAGGCCCUGAGGCUUAUGUUUACGCCACUUGUUUUCGCAAGGGAGCUUAAGGUCUUCCUUCUGUGAAGCGAAGAGAGGAGUGUUGACGGUGCCUGUUUUUCUGUAAUGCACCUACUUGGCAAAAUGAGAUAACCAAGACUUGUCCCAAAUCAUAUAAGUAGAGGUAGAGCCAGGGCUUGACCCCAGGCCAGCAGGACUCCAGUGCUCGUUGUCUCCAGUGCAGCCCCUUGCACGAGUGCCGGCAUUCUCCCAACUUCCAGCUGACCAUCUCCGGCUUAACACCCAAGUGGAAAAGCCACAGAGGCCCCGGGUCCUGGAGGAGGCGAGGGAGAAAACUGAGCAGCUUGCGCAUGGCCUUGACUUCUUGAUUGGAGCAGCUGAAGGCAGCGCGCCCGGAGGCUUGCGAGGUUCCCAGGGGAGCGGAAGAGGCGCGUCUCCAGUGCAGUGCUGGGCAACGCCAGCAGAGGAGGAGGAUGGCGGCUACGGGGCGUGGGGCUGGGGGAUAGGACUGACACUGCUGAAGGUACAAGCUUGCAACGAGUGGUAAAUCAGCCCUGCAGACCUAAUG
Molecule: long non-coding RNA, 816 nt
Filed under: Equus asinus (donkey)
Lineage: Eukaryota; Metazoa; Chordata; Mammalia; Perissodactyla; Equidae
Description: lncRNA (ENSEASG00005033839.1)
Source: RNAcentral